CAGUAGCCACGGGAAUACGAAGGGGGCUAGCGUUGUUCGGAUUUACUGGGCGUAAAGGGCGCGUAGGCGGGCUGAUAAGUCAGGGGUGAAAUCCCAAGGCUCAACCUUGGAACUGCCUUUGAUACUGUUUGUCUUGAGUUCGAGAGAGGUAAGUGGAACUGCGAGUGUAGAGGUGAAAUUCGUAGAUAUUCGGAAGAACACCAGUGGCGAAGGCGGCUCACUGGCUCAUUCUAGACGCUGAGGUGCGAAAGCGUGGGGAGCAAACAGGAUUAGAUACCCCUGUAGUCCCUGUCUCUUAUAC
RNAcentral lists this ribosomal RNA (301 nucleotides) under uncultured bacterium. RNAcentral describes it as "partial 16S ribosomal RNA". It matches the Rfam family "Bacterial small subunit ribosomal RNA", at positions 509 to 807 of the family's 1533-position model. The record is from RNAcentral.